UCCGACUUAACGUCGGCAGUCCCUCUAGAGUGCCCAACUAAAUGCUGGCAACUAAAGGCAAGGGUUGCGCUCGUUGCGGGACUUAACCCAACAUCUCACGACACGAGCUGACGACAGCCAUGCAGCACCUGUGUACCGGCCCUUGCGGGCGACGACAUCUCUGCCAGUCUUCCAGUACAUGUCAAACCCGGGUAAGGUUCUUCGCGUUGCAUCGAAUUAAACCACAUGCUCCGCUGCUUGUGCGAGUCCCCGUCAAUUCCUUUGAGUUUUAGCCUUGCGGCCGUACUCCCCAGGCGGGGCACUUAGUGCGUUAGCUACGGCACGGAGGGAGUCGACACCCCCCACACCUAGUCGACAUCGUUUAGGGCGUGGACUAC
This 377-nucleotide unclassified non-coding RNA is filed under the name uncultured bacterium. Its description in RNAcentral is "contains 16S-23S intergenic spacer region". The record is from RNAcentral.